UUAUUAAAUUAAUUAUGAUAAAGUAAAAGGUCCUAAAAUUACAAAAAGAAAAUAAAUGAUUGUUUGUUACAUUCCCCAAAUAGGGGAAACCCAAGACUUUACAUAGUAAUAAUCUAAUAGAAAUACAGAUUGUAUAAAGUACUCUAGGGGGUGGGGUGGAAGAAUCUAGAUAAAGGUGGUAUCAUCACCAAGGCUUGAGGUGUUGGACUCCUUACUCCUUCAUUCCACUAAGAAAAGAGAACUCCUCCACAUCUUCUUUCUUCAACUUUGGGAGCUUCUCAUUACUGCACACUUAAACAUGACCUCCCCGGUCUUCUAUAUCCUAGCUAGCAUAAGAUCUUGAGAGUUAUAUCUUUUUCUCCAUAUCUAGCUUUAUUCGGACCUUUACAUAGGCCCAAGUCAAGGAUGGUAGAGACGUGAAGAUCAAAGGAGCCAAACUUUGGAGAGGCAAGUGGGCUUACUCCAAGUAGCUCUGUACUGUAGCCAGGUUUGCCUUUAAGUGCCCAAGAGAUGCAGCGGUCCACAUGGUAGGGUUAUUGGUCUCCUUACCUUUUUGGCUCUGCUUCUCUCACCUUCUACCCCUGUAUUUCUCUUUUUCUUGCUCUUUUCCUUUGAACCCUUCAUCUUUAGUGGGUUAAAGGACACAUCACACUCCUUCAAAGAGUCACCAUCCUCCUUUGGCAUAUCUACCCUCUUACAUAUCUUGGUGAUUAGAAAGGCAAGAGGUAAUAUUUUUAAGUCCCUUCCCUUAUGUAGAAAUGUUGCCACUUAUUGAUUAUCUGCAUCCCCAUAUUCAACACUAUCAUCGAUAGAGCAUAGGUCAAUAAUAUAACUAGUGAAAGGUCACUUUCAUGACAUUUCCUAAAGGAUAAAUCCUUUGGGAUGCCAAUUUUAAUCAUCUUUGACCCUCUAUUAUGAAAUGGGUACUUUUGGUUCCUUUGACACUUGUCCAUUUUACCUUGUUCUCCUGUCCUACCGACACCAAGGUCCUUUCUAGCUGUUUCAAGUUAGCCUUAUCCAUCUUUGCCUCAAAAGCUAUAGUAGGGGGGUUUGUCACCCUAAGGUAUCAUUGAUGGUGGAAGCAUUCAUUAAAAUAUUCCUCCCUCAGGUUCAGAUGAUAUGCUGGGGCGAGGACCAGUCUACUAUUGGGAGUAUGACAUAGAACUACUUGACUAUCUCUAGAUUGUACGAACGAUGGUCUCCAUAAACAACACCUAUUCAAAUGACCUCAACUGGUUGUAAAGUUUGGCAUUUCUUCAGUCAAGUCUUUUAUCAUGAAUUCUCUCUCAUGGAUGAAGCCCCUAUUACUUAACCCCUUCUUAUAACAACCACGUUAAUUAGUGUUUAAAACUCAUCAGUGUGUGGGUUGGUUGGCGAUGUUAGCAAUCCUUCACAAAAUACAUCAUAGAAAUUAGAAACCAACUUGGGAUUCUACAAAAAGGUAAGGAAUCAAAAAAUAGGAUAGAUAAAUUUCUAAGAGGCUACUACCUCACUGUUGCUGCAGUAAUGCCUUCUUCCCCAACUAAUUCUAAACCCUCCAUGAUAGAUAUUUAAAUUGUUUUUGUUAAAUUUCAAGUUUUAGGCAUAGAUCAAGCUUGAUAGAGUACUUUUGAACUCUUUUUCACUAAAUUGGGAGUGAUUAACAACCAAUACAAGCCCCAAUUGACUGAAAAUCCUUAAAGAGGAUGCCUCUUCAUCUUCAAUCCUAGUCAAGCCCCCAAAACCCCAUGAACAUUGUGAAUCUUACUUCUAGAAUGUUGUGGAGCAUUAAAAAUGUAUGAUAUUCUAGCAUGCUUCAUAAAUUCAUUCAAAAAAGAAACUAAAUUCAAACUUCAAGUUGCACUAAAAGACAAUUCGAAAAUCAACCUCUUCCCCUAAUUUCUACAAUUAUACGAUGUUAAACUCAUAAAUAAAGUAGUAAAAACAAAGUUUUACGUUAGUAGCAUCGCUGGAAAGAAUAUUACUUGAGGGAAUUAAGAGUGUUUUUUUAGAGAAUUUGAGAGUUGGGAAGUGGGGGAAAUGAAACCCACUUACCUAUAGUUGAAACUGUUGAGACACGCAAGGGCUACAAAUGUACUACUACAGUGAAAGGCUUCAUAAAAUAUUAUUUCAUCUUGAUUUUUUAUGCGUUACAAUAUUUUAUGAUGUUAUGGGUAUUUUAAAUGACCGGUUGUAUAAAAUUUUAUUAUGAAUCAUAUUUUUUGGGUCAUAGUGAUUGACUCGUGUUAGAAGCUUAGAGACUCAAAUGCAUAGACUGGAUGGGUAAUGGAGGUUUGGGAAAGUGUUAUCAAGUAACUAAUAGGGAUAAUAGAUCAUAAUUUCUAACCAUCAUGUAUGUUGGAAUUCCAGAGUCAUGCUAAAAACUUCCUUUCCUCCUUUCGUAACUAUCUACGGUUGAACAAUUGGUAAAUCGAUAUCUAAUGUAAUGAAUCAAAUAACCGUUAUAUUAAAUAUUCAUUCCAAAAAAACUUCGAUUAAGAAAUCUUUAUUUCAAACUUUAUAGAAAUUAAUUUCAUUAGAAAAAUCCAUGGCCCAAAUUAAAUUUGGGCCAAAUUUACAAAAUUUGGCCAGGCCCAUUGACCAGAGGUAUUUCUAUUUCUAUAACGAUGGCGAGGCAAUAAGUUUCCAUAGGGUUAAUCAAAAACCCUCUCCUAGCAAAUGUCUCUUAUUUUUUUUCCUCUCUGAAAAACACCCUAAGUGAACCAUAUACGUGGAACUGUAGGAUUUUAAAGGCCAAGUUCUAACAGGGUGAUUUCCAAAUCAAGUGGUAUUUACAGUGUUGUUAAGGUACAAGGCAUACAAAGGAUUACCCUUUACUCUUUGUAGCAACAAAACUAAUCUACAAGGUAGUUAUGGUUGAAUUGUAGUAGACUUUGGCUAAAUGCAUAUCGUAACGAUAGUUAUAUUGGAAGAUUUCAUGUUCAGGCCUUUUAGGCACGAACUUUAAAUGAUUUUGAUAACAAACUAAACUUAGAAUAAUGAAUUUAUGAUUCAAUAUGUUGUAAUUAUUUUGCCCCUUUUCGAUUCGAAAGAUUUUGAAAGCAUUAUUUUCGACCUUUUAAACUAUUUCAAAAAUUUAAAGAAAAUUUUAAAAUAAUUUAGGAAAUUACAGAGUCGCCACUUGAUUUUUGAGAAAAUAUGAAGAAAAACUAAAACUAUUACUUAAAAGAUUCAAAAUAGAAAAAAUCUUUCAAGUUUAGAAAUUCCGAGUAAGUGGUUCCUAUAAAUACUCUUGGAAGGUUGUUAAGGCACCAAGAGUAUCCGCUAACUUAUGAUUAUCCAGACUAUUUGAAAAUAACUUUUUUGACUAACUUUAGAAAGUGAAAUUGAUUUUUUAAAGAGAAAACAAUUAAGGAAAAAUUGUCUUCAAGAUUUGUGCAAAACAAAUUUUGACGACUUAGCGGGAAUUUUUAACUAAGUCUAAGAAAACAAAGAACAAUUAGAAUAUUACGGGGAAAGGGGGAGACUAAAUGACUUAAUACAUUAGGCCCAAACUCAUAAAUCCUAUCCUAAGCUAAUUUGGACUUUUGACCCAUCUUCACCUGUCCUAAGCUAGUUUUCGAACCUUUGAGGCCCAAAAUCCGCUUCACCUGUAUUAAAUUACAUCUUUGGCUUCGAGGCCCAAAUGAAUGAAUAAAUAAAUGAAUAAAUAUAAAUAAGGCAAUAGUAAAAAUUGAGACUUUUAAAGUCUUUUAGUAACCUCAUCAAUGGGUUUUGACCCAUUUUCCUUCUUUCAUCUUCUUGCAGCCGCAUGCCAUAUAAUCGACUUUGAAUUUAAACUUUAGACCUAACUCGGAGAGGUGAGCCUCGUUAGCCCAUUACAAAAUGCAAGAGGAAAGGAGUUCAUUUGGACUCCAAAACAGAUCCAUGCAAAGAAAUAUUAAACUAGAUAAACGAUGAGAUGAAUGAGAUAACAUUCCCAAGUAUAAAGAAAUAUUAAACUAUGAUAUCAAAGCAAACCAAAUUAUGUUAUGAAAAAGAAAUUGACCCGUGUCUCAAAUAAUCUUAUAGAAAUUGAAGCCAACACAAUAUAAUCAACUAGCCCUUGAAAAGAAAGACAUGGAUCCACGAGCAUAAUUGCUUAAAAUUUAGACAAAUAUCUCUUAUAGAUUAACACAUAUUUACAACAAAUAUUAUGAUAUAGCCUAAGGCAUGUUUUCAUUAAAAAAAAAAAUAGGAGAAUGAGCAAGAGAUGAGGAAAUCUUUCAUAGCACCUCAAAUAUGAAAUACAAGACGUACUAAUGCAACAACACUUUUUCAAUACAAAAUGGAGUCAAUCAACAUAUUUAUAACUUAGAAGAAAAAUUCAGUAUAGCAUGUGUAUAACAAUGAGACGUCUAAAUGAAUAAAAAUACUUUAAGACAUAAACCAAUAAGUGAAGUGAAGCAAAUAACAUAUAUUAAGCAUAUUUGAGAAAUGAUAUUCGAAGACAAGAUAGGAAAAAUAGCACAAAAUUAAUUCUAAGAAAAAGUGUCUAAUUAUGCCAACUCCUAUUUUAGUUCUAUACCAUUUCAACAAAAUCUAUAAUCCUAACAACUUUUCAAUCUAAACAAGAGAAAAUCAAAGACAGUUUUGACCACAAAAAUGAGAAACUCACUACUUCAAAUUGAGAAACAAUUUCACAGACCCUUAACAAUAGCAACCAUUCCUUUUCGACAUAAAGGAAACAACUUCACACACUAAAAGCAAAAUAUCCACCCAUAACGAAUUUAAACAAAGAAUUAGCAUGCAUUUUAUGCAAAGAUCAAAACUUUAUCCAUAAUAACCAGAGAAUAAAGCCAAAAGGUGAAACAAUCAAUAUUAACUAUUCUUUUCAACAUAAAGAAAACAACUUUACAUGCUAAAAACAAACAUAUCCAACAAUAAUUAAUUUAAACAAAACAUGAGUACACAUUUUAAACAAAGAUUAAAACUUUAUUCAUAACAAUCAAAGAAUAAAGCCAAAAGGCGAAACAAUCAAAAUUAAUUAUUCUUUUCAACAUAAAGGAAACAACUUUACAUGCAAAAAAUAAACAUAUCCAUCAACAAUGAAUUUAAACCAAGCAAGAGUACAUAUUUUAAACAAAUAUUAAAACUUUAUCCAUAACAAUCAAAGAAUAAAGCCAAAAGGCAAAACAAUCAAUAUUAACUAUUCUUUUCAACAUAAAGAAAACAACUUAACAUUUUAAAAAUAAACAGAUCCGCGAACAAUGAAUUUUAACAAAGCAUGAGUACAUAUUUUAAACAAAGAUCAAAACUUUAUCCAUAACAAUUAAAGAAUAAAGUCAAAAGGCGAAACAAUCAAUAUUAACUAUUGUUAGCUCAUCUUAUCCCACAAAUAUGAAAAUAACCAUAAUAUUGAUAUCACAACUUCCUACAGGCUUCAAGGCCGUCUACAGCAAACAGUCCCAGCAAAUAAAAUUAUACGAAACUACAAAGAAGGAGAUGAAGAAGAAAACUAUAACAGAACUAAAAGAAAAAUGUGUGUUUACCUUUUUUGGAGCAGAAAAUGGGAAUUAAAGAUUUUUUCGGUGUCUUGAUCAUCAUCGGAGAACAAUCUUUCUAGAGCCUCGAUUAGACUACUGCUUGAAAUAUUUUUACUAAAAGAAAAAUUUAGCUUUUUGCUCAAAAGUUUUUCCACUCUUUGAGACUUGGUCUUUUUACCAAAAUAGUGGUAGUAUUUAUAAGAAAGGAUGGGGAUUCAAUUCUUUUCAUCCACCAAUGUGGUAGAAAGAAUUUAGGAGUAUUUUGGGAAUUUAAAUUUGAGGAAAAGGUUAGUUGGAGGAUAAGGUGAGGUAGAAUUAUACAAUCUAGUACAAAUUCAAAAUUCAAAAUUUGAAUUUCAAAAAUAAAAAUAGAAUAAGGUUGAAGGGGAAUUGUACAAUCUAGUAUAAAUUUUGAUUUUUAAAAUGGAAAAAAGGACAAGGUUAAGGGAAAAUUGUACAAUCAAGUACAAAUUUUGAAUUUCAAAAAUGAGAAAAGACAAGGUUGAGGUGGAAUUGUACCAUCUACUACAAAUUUUGAAUUUCAAAAAUUUGAAUUUUUAGUGUUUUUGAAUUUUUGGUUUGGGUUGAUUGGUUGCAGGUUGGACGCGGAUUCGGGUCAUGAGUGUCAGUCGAAUUUCGGGUUUUGCUGGGGAUUGGGUCGCUGGGUAGAAUUUAGGAUUUGGGGUUAUUUUAAAAAUAACCCCAAUCAAUUUAGGAUUUAGUCAAUUCCUUAAAUAUUUGGCCAAAUUAAAAAUCAAUAGGCCAAUUGCAUCAUAAUUAUGGUCAAUUUAAUUUCAAUUAUGUCCAAAUUUAAUAGAUCAGCUAAAUUAAAUUGAAAUUCGAUACGAAUUAAUACCUCAUUUAAUCAUGAGCUUCUUGAUUUAGUAAAAUCAAACAAAUAUUUUCCAAAUAAAUUAAUUUGAGAACAAAUUAUAUUUAAAUCAAGACUAUAUUCCGUUUGGAGUAAUUUUCAAGUUAAUCUUAGUAAAAGUUCAAUUUUGAUAAAUAUAGUCAUUUAAGUAACAAAAUUUAUACAGUCUCGUAUAAUUGUCACUUAAAAUACAAAAUUAACCCAACUAAAUAUUUUAGAGCGCAUUUAUUCGAAUGAAAUAAAUAUUUUAAUUUUAUGAAAAAUUGAAGAAAUCCAGGAUUAAAUUUAGUCGUGGAGGAUAAAAAUUGGGUGUCAACAACUGCCCCCUCCCUUUGGGUAAGGUGGAUGAAAGUAACCUGGGCAAAGGAAGUUUGACAUUCCUAACUUUUGUUCUACCACAAAUUUAUUUUUGAAAGAGAUUGAUUUUUGCACGAGUUUCAUGGAGUUAUAGCUUGAACCCGGUGCCAAGUUUCUUACAUAUCUCAGGCUACAUGAGAAUUCAGGCCACUUGUAGUUCAUAACGCUUAAUUUAAAGUACGAUUUUCAAAGAAUUCAUAAGCUAUUUCAGUUUAUAAAUUUUGGUGAAACCAAAAAGCUAGGAAUAAGAGGAUUGUGUGGGGGGGGGAGGUUGAAAUAUAGUCAAGUUUUCAACAUAGAGCCCAACCUAUUUAUCCUCGAGACUCAGGGAAUCAGAUUGCUUGUAGUUGGACUCAAUCGACAUAAAAGAUACUUUUAUUUUAGACGAUCUUUGGCUCGGGAUGAGUGACAAGUCAUUUGAGUUAUGAAAAAAGGCUUGUAACCUCCUAACCAUGAAUAUGGAGCUCUUCACAUCCAUAGGUAAAAAUCUACCCCGACAUAAUUUCCAAAACUUUAAGUACGUUGUCACUCGAAUUUCAAGGAAAGAGAAGGUUUCCCUCGGUAUGAGUUUAGAAAUAUUUCAAAGGUGAAGCUGAAACCAGAAUAUCCCAAAGUACCCACAUGCCUUCUAAUAGGGGUGUGGUUUGAAUAUGGUGGCAAUCAUCCCUUAGCUCACGUCCAAAGACUUUGAUGUCCAUCUCUAAACUACGUCCUGUUUUGCUGCUAAGAAAUUUUUUUACGCUGCAUCCUUUUUGUAGUCGUCCUUACCUAUGGUUUUGAUUUGAGAAUUUUAUCCUUUUGGAUGCUCUUGACAACAACUCAAACAAAUAAUUAGUUGUAAACAUCGCAUUACAUAAAUGUAAAUUAGCACAACCUGUUUGAACAUGCUAUGCUGAGAUAGUUGAUAAACCAGUUUGCAGAACAUAUUAUAAAAAAUACUAUGCCAAUUUGAAUGGGGUGAAAACCCAACAUGUACCAUUAAAAGGCAAAUGAUUUACCUUGAAUAUAACAUGCCACUUUGAACGGAGUGACGGUCCAACGUGUCUCAUUAAAGACAAAUGAUCCAUUUUGAAUGUAACAUGCCACUUUGAAUUGAGUGAUGGUCCAACGUGUCUCACUGAAGGGCAGACGACCCAAUUUAAAUGUAACACACCACUUUGAACAGUGUGACGGUCCAACGUGUCUCAUUAAAAGGUGGACGACCCAAUUUAAAUGUAACAUGCCACUUUGAAUGGAGUGAUGGUCCAACUGUCUCAUUGAAGGGCGGACGACCCAAUUUAAAUGUAACAUGGCACUUUGAACGGAGUGACGGUCCAACAUGUCUCAUUAAAGGGCGGAUGACCUAAUUUAAAUAUAAUGUGCCACUUUGAAUGGAGUGAUGGUUCAAUGUGUCUCAUCGAAGGACAGACGAUCCAAUUUAAAUGUAACGUGCCACUUUGAAUGGAGUGACGAUCCAACGUGUCUAUUAAUCACCUGUACUAAACUUAUUACUAUCAAAUGCAACAUAAGGGCAAUCGUGCAUACCAUUUUUUUGUAUGCCACACUGAAAGGAGGUGAAAAUUCAUAAUGUAGUAUUAUACUAUGUUGAAGGAGAUGCCAAUCCAUAUAAUAACAUGUCACUAUAAAUAAAGUGACAGUCUAAUAACAUAAUAACAUGUCACUCCGAAGGAGGUGACGAUCCAUAACAUAAUAAUAUGUCACUCUGAAGGAGGUGACGUUUCAUAACAUAAUAAUAUAUCACUCUAAAGGAUGUGACGUUCCAUAAUAAUAUGUCACUCAGAAAGAGAUGACGGUCCAUAACAAUAUAUCACUCUGAAGGAGGUGACAGUCCAUAACAUAAUAACACAUCACGCUAAAGAAGGUGGACAAUCCAUAACAUGAUAACAUGUCACACUGAAGAGGUAACGGUCCAUAACUUAAUAAGAUGUCAUGCUGAAAGAGGUGAUGACCCAUAACAUAAUGAUAUGUCAUACUGUUGUCUUAAAUAAAGAGAUGAUCUGAUGUACCUUCUUAAAGGGUGGAAAAUCCAAAUGUAAUAAGAUGCGUCCUUUUUAAAGGGGUGUGUCCCAAAUAUAAAUAGAUGUGUCACCUCAAAUAAAGUGACAAUUGGGAAUGUCCUCUUGAAAUGGUGGAUGACCCAAAAUAUGAUAAGUUAGGGUGACAAUCCGUUGCAUUCUCUUGAAAAGGUAGAUAACCCAAAUAUAAUAAGAUACAUUACCUCGAAUGGGGUGAAAAUCCGAUGUGGUCUUACAUAACGUCACCUGUAUAACUCAAACAACACUUAUUAAUAACAUAACAAUUUGUUAUAACUAAGCCAGGAAUGUAACAGAAAAUAGAGUUUACAAAUAAAGUCGUUUGACUCAUGAUGAUUUAGAGAUAGUAUUUUGAAUAAUAUCUCCAUAUCUCAACCGUUGUACAAGAUUAUUUUCCUAUAAAUUAGAGAAAUAUUUAAAGAUCGUAACAAAGUAUAGAAACAUAAAAUCAAGAGAAAAAAGGAGAAGAGAAGUUGUAUAGAUUAUUAUGGCAAGGCUAUAGUGGAUCUGGUAAUGCCCUUUAUUAAGCUUAACAUUGUCAAUGUUGUGACUUCAUUGUUCCUGCAUCCAAAAAAAUUCUUAAUUUUGAGAGGCUGACUAUUUUAGUUUUUCCUUGCUUUCCUGAUGCUCCUUGUUGAUCAUCGAUUCGCAGAGUUGAAGUGCAGUCUUUAAGGAAUUUUGGAGGAUCUCCCUCAAAAAUUCUGCCCCACUUUAGAAACUCUCAAACUUCUUAAUAACUUAUGACAUCAUUUAGUAUAGAAUUUUUGAGAUCUUCUCAAAAAUUUUGCCCAAGUCUAGAAUGCAAAAUACUUGAGUCCUUUUUGGAGUAGCAUAACCUGAAAUAUUACAACUUCUCAAAUUACGCACCGAUUCAGCUUCAGCAAUGCCUGAUGUUUAACUUUGUAGUAAAUUUCAAGUUCUUGUGAAAUUUUUUAAGACCUUCUCAAAAAUUUCUGCCCCAGUUACAUGCUUCUGUGUCAUCUCCAUGUAACUUAAAAAAAUCCUCUUAAAUAAAAUCUUAUGGAUAAUAUGAUCGAGCUAGUGUGGUGAUUACAUAUUCCAUUGAGGUAGGAAUCAUACCAAACAUAAUUCCACCAUAAGAUGGAAAAAUAAAUUUUCUAAGGGAUUGACCGAAGCCGACAUAGGCCGCCUACGUAGAGUCUUAUUGAUAGUGGAGGGAGAAGUUGGUCGCACAGGAUAGUUAUGGUGUGUUGAGGGAAAUAGAGAGAUAUAGUGUAUGAAACUGGAGUUAAUCUCUCAUAUUAGGGUGGAUAUCGAUGUAAUAGCGAGGAGUGAAGGGAGGAAAAAUAGAUUUAUUUCAUUCAUAAUUAGAGGUGUCAGUCGGGAUAAGUGUAGCCUUGAAUACUUAAGUAUGUAGGAGUGGUCGGAGAGUGGUGUGGACUUGAUUUGACUUUCUGCUUAUAUAUAUAAGUUGAUUAUUAUGAUUAUCCUUCGGGCACUUCCUGAGACUAUUAAUUAUCAUCAUUUAUUGAGCAUUGGAUCUAAGAAUAUAUAUAUUAAGAUAAUGUCGGAAUCGAGUGUGUCACACUAAUACUAUUAUAUGGAUCAUGUGUCAUACUGACAUUGUUGUUUGAUCAACUACCACACUGAUAUUAGUACAUUAACUAAGCUCAUUCCCUAAAAGGCAUAAUUAAGGGUCCCUACUGAUCCUAAUAUGUGGGUAUACCUAGCAUGCAUGUAUUUAUCAUUAUAUUUGAACAUGCAUUAUUGUGAUUAUUGUGAAUUAACUAGAUUGAGCGUAAGCAAUGGAAAAUAUAUCUGGAUGCAAGGUAUGUAUUGUCCUUGUGUGUGGACCUUGUUUUCUAUAUGCAUGAUAUAUUCAUAUAUAUAUAUAUAUAUGAGCCAUUCGGUGAUACUGUCCACUUUGUGUUUUACUCGAGAGAGCAAGGAUAGUUUCCUUGUUAGUUGAUACUUAGGUAGGGAUUAGAGGGUCAUAGUCGUAUUGAAUGUAGGGGUGUCAGUACUGAUAAAGAAAGAGAAAGGACAGAGUUGAAAACAUAGCUAAAGGACUUGGUAGGGUAAAGUUGUUUGGGAAAAUUAUGUGUUGUCAUGAUUCCUCCCUAAUUUCUAUUGUUAUUAUUUGUUUCUAACCUUGGUCGAUCGAAUACCUACUAAUACGUGUGGUUAUACUGAUACCAUACUUACUAUAUCUCCAUUUGUAGAUAUCACCAUGUUGCAGGCCAGUUGGAGUUUCUAUAGGUACAAUGAUGAUUACUCUUCAAUAGUUCAUGUCAUCCUACUCUUACAUGAAUUUCAUAUCUCGGCUCAUUAUUCUAUUUAAUAAAUACAUCUCGAACAAGAGUUCUAUUUAUUUAUGAAAUCAUUCUUAUUUUGAAACAGUUUAACCUAUCUUCUGCAUUAAUUGAAUGGUUAGGUGGUAAAAGUUCUCCUAUCUAGGUAAUGUUGGGCAGGUACCCACAUGAUCCACAAAUUGGAUCCUGAAAAUUCCAUUCUGAAAGUUUUUCUAAACUCUAUAACCUUUUAGCUAACACAACAUUAAUUUAAAUCAAUGCAACACCAUCUUAUCAAAUUCCAAAUUUACAUAAACUAGACCACACUUGAAUUUCAUCCAACACUAGUCUCGCCUGAAAUUUUAAACACUUCAUCUGACGUGAAAGAUAACAUAAAUUUUUUCAUAAUAAGCUAUAACAUAAUAACAAAAAGGAUCAUUACAUAUGUAUUAGGUAUUUGCAUUUUGUUUUCAUUGCAAUAUAAAAAUGCAAGUGCAAUUGCAAACUAUAAUGAUUCUUUGAUAUAUAUUAUAAUGAUUUGAUUUGUGAAAUCUUGCUUUUUAAGUAUUUUGACCAUUUUUAUAUUCCUUAUAGUUGAUACAUGUUGAUUUUGGAAUGUGGGGAAGGUGUGCAUGAUCCCCAAUGCAAUCGAAAUGAUUUUUAUGAGUGUGUGGUUUUUAGAGGCUUUAAACCAUAUAGUUGACUUUGAGAAAAAAUUGUUAUUCUGAGUGUUGAAUGAUGAUUUGAACAGUUUCAUUAGAUCCAUAAUGUUGAAUAUGGGAUAGUGUCAUGGUUGGUUCAGGUUCGAAACCUUUAUUUUACAUUACACUCUUUAUUUAGAAAAUAGUGGGGUCCCAAGGAUUAAUUUAUUAGAAACAUUUUGUUUUCAAAAAUUCGAUAUUGCCAUGGAGUCUAAAAUAUCAAAAAUAGUCCGGUAGCAUAUAUGAUUUAUUUUUGUCAUGUUCCAAAUGAAGCUUGAGGGUCCAUUCGGAGCAUGCAAAUCAGCUGAUGCACAGCUGAUAUCUGGUGCAACAAACCUUCUUCGCGAAUGUGGGCAUUUGUCUACAAACACAGAGAAGUAAAUGAUCCUUAGUCACGAAUGCAACGUGGUUUGUCAUGUUCGUGAAAGGUAAGCAGGUCCAGAUCGAGUAUUUUUCCUUCUCACGAAUCUCACAAGGCUAUCGCAAAUGCGAAGGACUGCCUCAUCAUUCCUUGCAAAUGUAAAGCCAUGAAUACAAAGUCCAAAAAUUUGGCAGAUCAAAGUUAACCCUUGCAAACACGAAGGGUUGACCAUGUUUUCAAGGCAUUGUUUAAAGAACACUAUGUUAGCCUUAUUUUCGUGAUUUUACUCCAUUUUUGAACCUCUAAGGUUUGAGAAAGGCAUUUUUGAUAGUUUCUUCAUUGUAUUUUGUGAGGGUAACCUCCUAAAUUAUAUUUUAAUUAUUUUCAAUUUAUUACAUCUUUGAAAACACAUUUUAAUCAUAAUUUUAAUAUGAGAUUUUGAGGUUUAUACCGGUAAAGCUUAAAAUACUUUUUCUUUGAUUUGUACUUUUUUUAACCCAUUCUUUUAUGGGUUUUCAACUAUAGACUCCUAUAAUAUUGGAAAACAUAUUUCUAAAAUAAAAUUUCAGUUUUAACCCUUUUAUUUUUUGAACUCAUUUUUCAAACCCGUUUUGGAUCCGACUCAAAUAUGGGCAAUAUGAGAAUAUUUAGCUCUGUUUUAAUGAGUAAAUGAAAUAUUUGAAUAUUGUCGUAGAUUCUAAGGCCGUCCAUAAUGGAAAAUAUCCAUGUUGAGGCACUUUAGGCUUGGAUUUCAUCAUUUUAAAGUAGGUUAUGACUUAAAUUCUUUUAGAUUGAGCUACGUAGUUGAUAAAUAAGUAAAACAUGCUAUGGGUUAGGGUAUUUAGUAUGCAAUUAUUAUUAUUAUUAUUGUCUUCUUAUGUGGGGAGUUUUAAUACGUUGUUGUUGACUUGUAAUAUAUGAUAUUGUGUAUUACCUAUGUGGAAGCUUUAUUUGACAUCAUUGGCCUUAUCUGUGCAUAAAAAAUGUCUUUAGUGUAGAUAUAAUGCUUGUACGGGGUCUUGAAUAGUUACUUUAGUCUUUCUAAGCAUUGAUUACCUUAUCAUGAUAAAAAUGCCUAAAUGAUUACAUGCAUAUUUAUUUCAAUGGUGCCCAAUUAGAGUUGAUAACCAUGGAUUAUGGAUAUAUGGAGUUGAUUUCUGGUCUCACUUAUAUAUGUGUUGGAUGGAUCGUAUAUCUUCAUAUUGAGUUAAUGUUGAGCAUUAAACAUCCCCAUUUCAUACAUAUAUAUUCAUGAGAUACGGUACCAUUAAGGAAUACUAUUUUUGAAAGAAAAUAAGACUUUUCUUAUAAAAACCCUCUCCGUGAAGUUGAGCCAAAGAGAUGGGUUAAGAUUUAAGAUAUGAGAUAUAGUAUAUAGGUUGUAAACCCCCCAUAGGUCCUAUCUUGGGAGUUGUGAUAUAGGUAGGUAUAUAUCAAAGCGUCAUGUGAUGGCUUUUAUCAUUUAUCCCAUUCUCAUUGCAUUGCAUGUGCAUCUUACAUGACGUUUCUUAGUUACUCUUGACUUGUGUUUAGUUUUAGUAUAUUUGUAGUGUAUAUAUGUACUAUUUUUAUUUUUUACAUAUAUUAGAACUUUUAGUGAAGAUGGUAUGAGCUACCGUUUAAACUUUUCUGCUUGCAGGUAACAUGCUCAUAGUUUUCUUCACUUAUAUUAUUUUCUGCUUUGGUUAGUUUUCCUAUGAUACCUACUGAGUACAAGUGAUUUGUACUCAUCUUUAUUGUGCCCUUUUAGUGUAGAUCCUAGUUUGAGCACCAUGUGUGGUUGUUCAUUUGCACGGAGAUUCAGAAUUUUGAGGUACUAAUUAGCUCUAGAGUUUUGGCUGAUUCGAACCUCAUAUAUCCUUACUCUUUUUUAUUUAUAAUUCAGAGACAGAUUUAUAUUUUUAGUUUAUUGAUAUAUGUACUAGAUGCUCUUGUACUGUGUUGUUAGGUUUUAGUACAGAUGGCAUUUCUUUUAGACAUUUGUUAUUAUUGUACUUGUAUUAAUCUGAAUUUAUUCUAGAAGUCUCGAAUUGGUUUAUAUUAUUAUUGAUUUUGGUUUAUCCUUCAUCGGAUUGGGUAUUUGCUUACUUAUCAAGGCCGAGUUGCGAUUAGUGCCAUCAUGAUUAUUUUUGGGUCUUGAUAAAUUAUUAUCAGAGUAGCCUUUUUCAUCAGUCGUAUAUGUUUAAUAGUAAAAUGUCUAGUAUAUUCUCACGGAUCGGUACGCAAACAUCAAUAUCUAUCUUCAAGAGGCUAUAAGAUAUCUUUAUGAAAAAUUUCUCUAAUUUAAUUUCUUAUCAUACAGGUUAUUCAUGUCCAAUGUUCUAAAAUUUUAUUCUAUUCUUUCUGCGUAGAUGGUAAGGACUAAGUCCAGUAGGCUAGAGAUGCUAAGCCUACACCAUAGACAGGAAUCCCAUUUCGAGGAUGAAGCAGGGUCAUGUUUGACCCAGAGAUAGAGGG
Molecule: long non-coding RNA, 14497 nt
Filed under: Capsicum annuum
Lineage: Eukaryota; Viridiplantae; Streptophyta; Magnoliopsida; Solanales; Solanaceae
Description: long non-coding RNA (CANN_LNC010388)
Source: RNAcentral